This 434-nucleotide ribosomal RNA is filed under the name uncultured bacterium. RNAcentral describes it as "partial 16S ribosomal RNA". It matches the Rfam family "Bacterial small subunit ribosomal RNA", at positions 28 to 506 of the family's 1533-position model. The record is from RNAcentral.
AGCGAACGCUGGCGGCAGGCUUAACACAUGCAAGUCGAGCGGGCACUUUCGGGUGUCAGCGGCGGACGGGUGAGUAACGCGUGGGAACGUGCCCUCUGGUUCGGAAUAACUCAGGGAAACUUGAGCUAAUACCGGAUACGCCCUUUUGGGGAAAGGCUUGCUGCCGGAGGAUCGGCCCGCGUCUGAUUAGCUAGUUGGUGAGGUAACGGCUCACCAAGGCGAGGAGCAGUAGCUGGGCUGAGAGGAGGAUCAGCGAGACUGCGACUGGGACACGGCCCAGACUCGUACGGGAGGCAGCAGUGGGGAAUAUUGGACACGGGGCGCAAGCCUGAUCCAGCCAUGCCGCGUGAGUGAUCAAGGCCUUAGGGUUGUAAAGCUCUUUUAUCCGGGACGAUAAUGACGGUACCGGAGGAAUAAGCCCCGGCUAACUUCGU